This is a long non-coding RNA of Eurytemora carolleeae, 462 nucleotides long. RefSeq lists it as uncharacterized. The record is from RefSeq and is a predicted model, not a curated record. Lineage: Eukaryota; Metazoa; Arthropoda; Copepoda; Calanoida; Temoridae. The transcript is spliced from 3 exons.
CUUCAAUGGCUCUGGUAUGAUAGAAAGGACAACACUUCCUUGGCGUUUUCAUCAUCUACAAGAGAUUCACUUCUACUCGGAAUAAACUUAUUUGAUUUUAGUAAAGUGAACUCUGAUCCAUGCAAGAAAGUUGGCAUGUCUUCUGUUCGUAAGAUUAAGUUUACCACAUGCUCUGAGAACCAGUUUACAUGCAAUGAUGGACAGUGUAUUGAUAUGGAUAAUAGGUGUGAUCAAACCACAAACUGUCUGGAUGAAUCUGAUGAAGAAUUAUGCAAAAUUAUCUUUUUAAAAGACAAUUACAAAGAUACUAUUGUACCAUUCAGGCAAUAUUUUUCCAAUUUAAGGGAACGCAGUUUCAAGUGACUCUCCAUAUUUAAGUGGCAUUAUAGAAUAACAAUUCUGCCUGAACACUUUGUCUGCAUAAGAAUGCAUGAGGCAUAGAUUAAUUAAAAUCUAAAAAUU